Triticum aestivum (bread wheat) is the source of this 115-nucleotide non-coding RNA. Lineage: Eukaryota; Viridiplantae; Streptophyta; Magnoliopsida; Poales; Poaceae. The record is from Rfam.
CUUUUACUCCCUCCGUUCAGAAUUACUUGUCAUAAAAAUGAAUGUAUCUAUAACUAAAAUACAUUUAGAUACAUUCAUUUCUUAGACGAGUAAUUCUGAACGGAGGGAGUAGUUU